CUUGUACACACCGCCCGUCACACCAUGGGAGCGGGUUCUGCUAGAAGUAGUUAGCCUAACCGCAAGGAGGGCGAUUACCACGGCAGGGUUCGUGACUGGGGUG
This 103-nucleotide ribosomal RNA is filed under the name uncultured bacterium. RNAcentral describes it as "partial 16S ribosomal RNA". It matches the Rfam family "Bacterial small subunit ribosomal RNA", at positions 1380 to 1482 of the family's 1533-position model. The record is from RNAcentral.